Molecule: transfer RNA, 73 nt
Filed under: bacterium
Lineage: Bacteria
Also listed under: 4 other names
Description: tRNA-Trp
Rfam family: tRNA
About the family: Transfer RNA (tRNA) molecules are approximately 80 nucleotides in length. Their secondary structure includes four short double-helical elements and three loops (D, anti-codon, and T loops). Further hydrogen bonds mediate the characteristic L-shaped molecular structure. tRNAs have two regions of fundamental functional importance: the anti-codon, which is responsible for specific mRNA codon recognition, and the 3' end, to which the tRNAs corresponding amino acid is attached (by aminoacyl-tRNA synthetases). tRNAs cope with the degeneracy of the genetic code in two manners: having more than one tRNA (with a specific anti-codon) for a particular amino acid; and 'wobble' base-pairing, i.e. permitting non-standard base-pairing at the 3rd anti-codon position.
Source: RNAcentral
ACGGGUGUAGCUCAAUUGGUAGAGUAGUGGUCUCCAAAACCAUUGGUUGUGGGUUCGAUUCCUACCACCCGUG